RNAcentral lists this ribosomal RNA (299 nucleotides) under uncultured bacterium. Its description in RNAcentral is "partial 16S ribosomal RNA". It matches the Rfam family "Bacterial small subunit ribosomal RNA", at positions 28 to 350 of the family's 1533-position model. The record is from RNAcentral.
GAUAAACGCUGGCGGCGUGCCUAACACAUGCAAGUCGAACGCCCUGGAGCAAUUCAGGGAGUGGCGGACGGGUGAGGAACACGUGGGUUAUCUGCCUUGAGGUGAGGAAUACCGGCGAGAAAUCGCCGACAAUACCGCAUACGUUCGUAAGAACAAAGUCGCAAGACGCCACAAGAUGAGCCUGCGUCCGAUUAGCUAGUUGGUGGGGUAAAAGCCUACCAAGGCAGCGAUCGGAGCUGGUCUGAGAGGACGAUCAGCCACACUGGGAUUGAGAACGGCCCAGACUCCUACGGGGGCGA